UACGUAGGGGGCGAGCGUUAUCCGGAUUCACUGGGUGUAAAGGGAGCGUAGACGGCCAAGCAAGCCAGGGGUGAAAGCCCGGGGCCCAACCCCGGGACUGCCCUUGGAACUGCAUGGCUGGAGUGCGGGAGGGGCAGGCGGAAUUCCUGGUGUAGCGGUGAAAUGCGUAGAUAUCAGGAGGAACACCGGCGGCGAAAGCGGCUCUCUGGCCUGUAACUGACACUGAGGCUCGAAAGCGUGGGGAGCAAACAGG
Molecule: ribosomal RNA, 253 nt
Filed under: uncultured bacterium
Lineage: Bacteria
Description: partial 16S ribosomal RNA
Rfam family: Bacterial small subunit ribosomal RNA
Source: RNAcentral